RNAcentral lists this ribosomal RNA (255 nucleotides) under uncultured Stenotrophomonas sp. Its description in RNAcentral is "partial 16S ribosomal RNA". It matches the Rfam family "Bacterial small subunit ribosomal RNA", at positions 97 to 354 of the family's 1533-position model. The record is from RNAcentral. Lineage: Bacteria; Pseudomonadati; Pseudomonadota; Gammaproteobacteria; Lysobacterales; Lysobacteraceae.
GGCGGACGGGUGAGGAAUACAUCGGAAUCUACUCUGUCGUGGGGGAGUAACGUAGGGAAACUUACGCUAAUACCGCAUACGACCUACGGGUGAAGCAGGGAUCUUCGGACCUUGCGCGAUUGAAUGAGCCGAUGUCGGAUUAGCUAGUUGGCGGGGUAAAGGCCCACCAAGGCGACGAUCCGUAGCUGGUCUGAGAGGAUGAUCAGCCACACUGGAACUGAGACACGGUCCAGACUCCUACGGGAGGCAGCAGGC